Long non-coding RNA from Neopsephotus bourkii (Bourke's parrot), 674 nucleotides. RefSeq lists it as uncharacterized. The transcript has 3 exons. Lineage: Eukaryota; Metazoa; Chordata; Aves; Psittaciformes; Psittacidae. The record is from RefSeq and is a predicted model, not a curated record.
AAGCCUGGACCUAGAUAAUUGGCGAUGUGUGUAAAGGAAGAUACUUCUGCAGGUGUACUGUUCAGUGAGCUUUCAGAGCAUCUGUUAUUAGUAGUCCUUUGGAAAUGACAAAGGCAGGUGUAAGUAUUUUAACAUUCUUUAAUAGUGAAGGUGUUAAAAUUUACGUGAGCUGCUGACAUAUGCAGCCCUGAACUCAAUUUGUGCCAUCUUUUACACUCUGUGAAGCUCCCAACACAGUUUACACUUGAUUGGAAGCACCCUGUCCAUGUGGAAGUGGGCAGCUCAACAUCUUGCCCAUGGUUAUGCCCAAGGAUUACACAUGGCAUGUGGAAGUGCCGAAUGGCUUUGCAUCACCAGUGGACACCCAAAUGUGAUGGAGAUUUCAGAAGAGUGAGUCAGCCCCAUUGACUAAAACAUGUUUGAGAGACUCAGUAACCACAGAAAGUUGAAGAUGGACUUUGUUGCAAAGCUCAAUGAGAUAAAGACUUCUUUGAGGCAGAAUGGCAUUCUGAGGCAGAGCCUGAACCCAGCUUGGCUGACCUGCUACAAUCCACUGGUACCCACAUUUAAAACCUGCUUUCAUCUUUGAAAUUCAGCUAUGGAAUAGGCAUUUUACAACCUCUGUAAUACUUAAAGUUUUCAUGCAUGAUAAAUAAAAUUACCUUAAAGGUUAA